CCCUUAGAUGUUCUGGGCCGCACGCGCGCUACACUGACUACUUCAACGAGUUGUUUCCUUGAUCGAAAGGUCUGGGUAAUCUUUGAAAGGUAGUCGUGAUGGGGAUAGAUCCUUGCAAUUUUUGAUCUUCAACGAGGAAUUCCUAGUAAACGCAAGUCAUCAGCUUGCAUUGAUUACGUCCCUGCCCUUUGUACACACCGCCCGUCGCACCUACCGAUUGAAUGGUCCGGUGAAUCUUUAGGACUGUGGCUGAGGCCUUGCCUUGUGCGGGUCUGGCCGUGGGAAUUUAGUUAAACCUUACCAUUCAGAGGAAGGUGAAGUCGUAACA
RNAcentral lists this ribosomal RNA (328 nucleotides) under uncultured eukaryote. RNAcentral's name for it is "partial 18S ribosomal RNA". It matches the Rfam family "Eukaryotic small subunit ribosomal RNA", at positions 1470 to 1796 of the family's 1831-position model. The record is from RNAcentral.